Rhopilema esculentum is the source of this 1589-nucleotide non-coding RNA. Lineage: Eukaryota; Metazoa; Cnidaria; Scyphozoa; Rhizostomeae; Rhizostomatidae. The record is from RefSeq and is a predicted model, not a curated record.
ACCACCACUAAAAGACAAGAAGAAAAUGUUUAUCAAAACCCAUUAAAUUUUUGUUUAAAAAGACCCUGCCAUAGAAAGAUAUUUGUAACAAUUGAAGAGAGAGCGACGAUUAUUUGUUUGAAACUGUAAAUUUUAAUCAUUUGGAAAACGAAACAUAUUUUACAUCACAUCACUCAAUUUUAUUAAAUUGCUUUUUUCUGGCAGCAUCAAAAAUCGUUUUCUAGUAUGUAUUGGUAGACGAGGUAGCAGUGCAUGGAAGGUGCGUAAAAAUAUGCAACAUUUGUAAAGCUGCCAGGCAGCAGAGGAACAGGUUUCAAAAACUACGAACGCUGUUUGAAACUACUUCCUAUCUAUGCUGAUUUCACUCUGUAGCCAUUGUUCCAUUUCUUUGUUAUUUAGCUGCUUAACAAUGUCAUAUAACAAUGUCUAUCCCAUGAACCCCUGAAAAGCACUGCAUUUGCAAAGUGGUUCGCUUUGAAUUAUACGUGAGUUGAACCAAAGCAAGAGACGUCCUCACACUUGACAGCAGGACCAUGAGAGGGAACUCCACAAGGAAAAAUAGACCCAACAAUGCAUGCCAGCAGCUUGAGAAGACAAAGAGUCAUGAUGAUUUUUCAAAAUCUGCUUAACCAAAGAGAUACUAAAAAGACAAGACACUGCAAGGAAACGCGUAUGUGCCCCAUGAAAGAAAUGACAUUCCUGGUGAAUCCUUGAAAACACUGAAAAGGUUCCAUCUCUCGAUCGCAACUGCCAUCAUCAAGCCUCCCAAUACCAGAAUGUUUGUAUCCUUAAAGUACGGAGGAGCUAUGUCCUUCGCAGGCAACACUCGAAGAACAGGGAAGAGAAACAGGGGCAGCAAGGCAGUUACUGUAAGGCAUCACACUCAAAACAGGGAAUAAAAACAAGGGCAAUAGAGCAGUUACUGCCAAGUCGGUGACCUCUGUGCACCAAUAUGUUCCCAUAAUCAAUAUUGCAUAUCCAGUUCUGGCUUCCUGCAAAAUCAAGAUUUUUGUCCUAAAGACACAGAAAAUACUUUAUGGAAAAAUAUUUUCCUUAAGGUGCACACAAGGCGUUGAUCGCUGAAAGGAAAAUGCCGGUGAAUGAAGUCUGUAACAGGAAAAGAAAUGUUGAAUACGAGGAUAAAUAUCGCGCGGGCACUUUCUGCACGAACAGUAUUUGCCUCAAUAUACAAGCAUCGAUUGCAUCUCGAAAUCUGGACUCCGAGUAACGGAUGGACGCUUCUAAACAAGAGCUUCCAUUCACAAAAUUGAGGAACGACUUUGUGAAUGGAAAGACCAGAGAUAUCACCAUCACCUUUCACCUUUGCCUCCUUUUAACGGACGAUGCGAUUUGUUCUGCCAGAAAUGUAUUUUGCAUGUUAUGGUUGUGUGUUUUGUACGGUCUAGCUGUACUAAGCUUGCCCGAACACUUAAUCAAUCUAACUCCGUUCUUAGCUGGCAUUUUUAUAGGGUUUAGGCCCGUUUUAAAAAGUGUAGUUGGAAAUCCGAUAGCUGGAUUGUGAGCUAAUAUUUGGAAUCUGAUAAGAGAUAAUUGCAUAAAUAAAGCAAAAUCGGCAAUCAUAGCCUACC